Molecule: non-coding RNA, 28 nt
Filed under: Homo sapiens (human)
Lineage: Eukaryota; Metazoa; Chordata; Mammalia; Primates; Hominidae
Source: RNAcentral
GAAAUAAUGAGACAUCAGCCUAUAGGAA